RNAcentral lists this ribosomal RNA (887 nucleotides) under uncultured bacterium. Its description in RNAcentral is "bacterial SSU rRNA". It matches the Rfam family "Bacterial small subunit ribosomal RNA", at positions 60 to 914 of the family's 1533-position model. The record is from RNAcentral.
AGUCGAGCGAGCAAGUUAAAGGAAUACUUCGGUAGGAAUUUAAUAGCGCGAGCGGCGGAUGGGUGAGUAACACGUGGGCAACCUGCCCUUUAGCUUGGGAUACCACUUGGAAACAGGUGCUAAUACCAAAUAAGAAGUAAGAGCGCAUGCUCAAGCUAUGAAAGGCGGCUUUCGAGCUGUCACUAAAGGAUGGGCCCGCGGUGCAUUAGCUAGUUGGUAAGGUAACGGCUUACCAAGGCAAUGAUGCAUAGCCGAGUUGAGAGACUGAUCGGCCACAUUGGGACUGAGACACGGCCCAAACUCCUACGGGAGGCAGCAGUAGGGAAUCUUCCACAAUGGACGCAAGUCUGAUGGAGCAACGCCGCGUGAGUGAAGAAGGUUUUCGGAUCGUAAAGCUCUGUUGUUGGUGAAGAAGGACAUGGAUAGUAACUGAUCUAUGUUUGACGGUAAUCAACCAGAAAGUCACGGCUAACUACGUGCCAGCAGCCGCGGUAAUACGUAGGUGGCAAGCGUUGUCCGGAUUUAUUGGGCGUAAAGCGAACGCAGGCGGGAGAACAAGUCAGCUGUGAAAGCCCUCGGCUUAACCGAGGAACGGCAACUGAAACUGUUUUUCUUGAGUGCAGAAGAGGAGAGUGGAACUCCAUGUGUAGCGGUGAAAUGCGUAGAUAUAUGGAAGAACACCAGUGGCGAAGGCGGCUCUCUGGUCUGUAACUGACGCUGAGGUUCGAAAGCAUGGGUAGCGAACAGGAUUAGAUACCCUGGUAGUCCAUGCCGUAAACGAUGAGUGCUAAGUGUUGGGAGGUUUCCGCCUCUCAGUGCUGCAGCUAACGCAUUAAGCACUCCGCCUGGGGAGUACGACCGCAAGGUUAAAACUCAAAGGAAUUGAC